GGUUUUUAGAUCUUAUUAAAAAUCAAACCUGCUCAAUGUAAAAUAAAUAGCCGCGGUAUUAUGACCGUGCAAAGGUAGCAUAAUAAUUAGUCCCUUAAUUGGGGACUGGAAUGAACGGUUUAACUAAAUAUUUUUGUCUUAUAUUUAUAUUUCGAAUUUUAUUUUUCAAUAAAAAAGUUGAAAUCUUCUUAAGGGACGAGAAGACCCUAUCAAGCUUUAUAAUUAUUUAUUUAUUUUCAAAUUAAAUAAUAAAUUAUUUUACUGGGGCAGUGAAUAAAUUGUUUUUAUCUAUAUAUUGAGAUGUUAAAUCUGGAGAAAUCGAGAAAUUCUCAAAAAAUAAUAAGUUACUGUAGGGAUAACAGCAUAAUUUUUUUAAAGAGUUCUUAUCAUCAAAAAAGUUUAUGACCUCGAUGUUGGAUUAAGAAACCUAAUAACCGCAAUAGUUUAUUAAGGAAGUCUGUUCGACUUUUAAAUUCUUCCA
This 481-nucleotide ribosomal RNA is filed under the name Thestylus aurantiurus. Its description in RNAcentral is "partial 16S ribosomal RNA". It matches the Rfam family "Bacterial large subunit ribosomal RNA", at positions 1829 to 2600 of the family's 2925-position model. Lineage: Eukaryota; Metazoa; Arthropoda; Arachnida; Scorpiones; Bothriuridae. The record is from RNAcentral.